AUGAAUUUGGACUCGUUGUCUUUUACGUUAGCUCAAAUUUCUCAUCUUGUUUCCGGACUUACUAAGAAAAACUAUUGUGAUAGCUGCGAGGAGAUAGCGCUUUUGGUGCGGUGGAAAGGUCUGGAGGUAGAUAGACAUUUGCUGCGCUGUUUGUUUCUAAUUAUUGACUUUUCCACUGGAGAACCUCCUGAACCUAGCUCAAAACAUUAUUAUCAAGUACAACUACUGAAGCAAGAGUGCAAAACUCUGUUAGGCAAACCAUCUUUUGUAUCCAAUCUUUGCUUUGCCAUUGAUUUCACAUUUCCUCUGCCCAAUACUACUGUGCCAAUUCAAAAAUUUUUUCAGUACAUUCGUAAAGUACUAGGAUUAUCAUUAUUGCAGGAUACUGUGUUUGCAUUAGCUUUGAAACAUUCCAAAACUACUGAAAUAGCCACUCGUGCUAUUGAUCAUUUAAAGCAUCAAUUACCGGAACUGAUAAGAAAUUACAUAAACGCUGAAAGUAGUAAAAAACACAUUAGCGAAGAAGGUCUGCACGAUACUUCUCCUGAAAUCUUGCAUCUUAUCCUUAGUUUUGUGUUCGAGGAGUCAACUACGGUUGAACUCUCCUCGGAAAUUAAAGAAAAAUUUUUGAAAAAUCUGAAACGUGACUUCCCACGUGAGCUGGUACCUGUGGUCUUGGCACCACUACUGUACCCAGGUGACGGGGAGGACACUCAAAAAAUUAUUGAAGUAAACAUGGCAGGAAAUCAAAUGGAUAAUGCAAACUUGGUAGAGAUGAUAAUGGAGCUGGGCUACAGUUUUACCAGCAAUGUUGACGAAUGUCGCAACAAUCUCGUUAGUCUCGGUGCACGAGAUAUGUCAGCUCGUUCUGUAGCCAAAAUUUUGUCUCACAUGGCACGUACUUGCAGUGGCCUAGAUGACGCGGCUGGAUUACAUAGUUUUUGGGAUGGCUCAGCUCAAUCUCAAGAAAAUAAAGAUAAACAAGCCACUGAUCCGCCUAUCACAUGGAAUGUUGAUGUAUUCAUUCAAGCUAUUAAAGAAAUGUGUCCAAAACUAGCAUGGAAUGAAGUGAUAGCAAAAUUAGAUCAUCCAGAAUUCUGUAUCAAAGAUCGCCAAGGACUCAAUCUAUUAAUCAGUGGUCUUAAAUUAGGCAUGAAAAUCCAAGGUUACCCACUAGAUGUUUUUCCAGUGGAAUUAUUUUAUAGACACUGGGAUAAUUUUAAAGGUCAAUUUACUCUAAUCCAGCAAAUAUUAAAAAAUCCAGAUGUGUUUAGUUUUGCCGAUUAUGCUUACCAUCCAGUUCAAAUUGAACAACUGAAAUUAACAGAAAACGAAAGUAAAGAGCACCUCACAUGGAGAUCUUUGAAUGUUGUCGAAGUACUAUUAUUUUUGGGAGACCGCCUGAGUUCAAGUAAUUUGGUACAAGAUAUUUUCAAAUGGCCUAUGUCCAAUUGUCCAGAUGUACUUGCAAUGGCAUUAAUUCAAUCAAAUCAACCCAUUACUGCUUUGAGACAAGAACUUUUGGCGAACUUGAUACCGACUUUUCUUAAUAAUCAUCCAAAUAGUAGUGUAAUUUUUCAUUUUGCUUGGUGCACAAACAAUUUAAAAAUCAAAGGAAUUUUUAUGCAAGCAAUGGCUGAAUGGUAUUUACGUAGCGAUAACGAUCAGGCUCGUUUGCUACGUAUCUUGGAUAUUGCCCAAGAUCUCAAAGCUCUGCAAACUUUUUUAAGCAUUCAAUCUUUUCCCUUCGUUAUUGAUCUCGCAUGUUUAGCAUCACGGCGGGAGUGCCUCAAACUUGAAAAAUGGCUAUCUGAUAAAAUUAGAGACCACGGAGAGGCAUUUGUUACUGCCUGCAUAAAAUAUUUACAAAGAAGGUGUCCUCAAUUAAUGGGUCCCACGAAAGAAGAUCCCAAUGUAUCAAGAAUCAAUCAAUUACCUCAAGAGACGCUUAGCACUAUGCUAAAUUGUCUACAAAAUUGCAUUGGAACUGUAUCACAAGAGUGUGCUGAUGCUAUAGUACAGAUGGUACAAAAUUUCAAUAUAACUUAUAAUAAAGGAUCUAUUAUUCGAAUGCCUCCUCCUGCUAUGAGGCACAGAAAUGUAGAUGCAUUAUCGGGACAGUUGUUCACAAAUAAAUCGGCUGAUAAUGUUACAUCACUGAAUUCUAGUUUAGCAUCCAUGAAUAUAACUUCAAACUUGGGUCCACCAACCAAUACUGGAUUUAAUCUUCAAGGGGGUUUAGGUCCCUUGGUGUCUCCAGGUUCUCCUUCAAGACUGAUGGGAGUUGGUCCAUCUGCCUCGCCUUUUCCCAUGGUGCCAAUUUCAUCACAAUUACACACUGGGCCUGUAGGUACGCAAGGCUCCGCUGUUUUGCCAGGAAACAUUCCUGUGGGUACCAUGAAUCGCAUUCCUCAACCUGCGGUGGCUACUGAUAAGUCUCGAAUGGCACAGCAAGAAUAUUCAGCUGAUUUGAAUCAACCCAUGCCAAAAGAAAUAGAAGAUGAAGCAAAUGGAUACUUUCAAAGGAUUUAUAAUCACCCACCUCAUCCAACCUUAUCUAUUGAUGAAGUACUUGACAUGCUUAAAAAGUUUCAAGAUUCGAACAUCAAAAGAGAAAGAGAUGUUUACACGUGCAUGCUACGAAAUCUUUUUGAGGAAUAUAAAUUUUUUCCUCAGUAUCCCGAAAAAGAGUUGCACAUAACAGCUCAACUUUUUGGAGGCAUAAUCGAACGAAGCCUUGUCAACAGUUAUGUUAGUUUAGGAAUGGCAUUGAGAUUUGUCCUAGACUCCCUUCGUAAAAAAGAAGAUACAAAGAUGUAUUACUUUGGUUUAGCUGCGCUAGAUCGUUUCAAAUCUAAAUUAAAGGAGUAUUCAACGUAUUGUAUUCACGUGCGCAAUAUCCCGCACUUUGUUGAAUUUCCUGACCAUUUGAUCGAAUAUGUAGAAUAUGGACUUCAAUCUCAAGAACCACCAACGCGUCCACAAGGUCCAAUAGUACCAAAGUCAAGUAAUGUUCUUGGUUCCGGUACAGUAACCACACCAUUCAAAACCAUUACCACAACUACUGUCACAACCACCACGACUCAAACUAAACCAUCAACCACACCUACGAGUGCUUUGGGCACGGGUCGACCUAGUAUAGCAAACGCCACAAACAUUGAUACUUUGCUUGUAGCCACAGAUAAAGAAGAGAAAAUAACCAGUCCACCUGAAUCACUGCAAGAUAAAACCGCCUUUAUAUUCAACAAUUUAAGCCAGUUAAAUCUGCAACAAAAAUGUGACGAGAUUAGAGAAAUUGUAACGGAAGAGUAUUGGCCAUGGAUGGCCCAGUAUCUGGUUAUGAAGAGAGCCAGUAUUGAGCUAAAUUUCCACGCUUUGUAUUCGAACUUUUUGGAUUGUUUAAAGAUACCGGAAGUUAACAAAAUGGUCACACGAGAGACCUUUAGAAACAUCAAAGUUCUUUUACGAAGUGACAAAGGCAUAGCCAAUUUCUCUGACCGUUCUUUAUUAAAGAAUCUUGGUCACUGGUUGGGCAUGCUUACAUUAGGUCGUAACAAGCCGAUUUUAACAGUUGAUAUUGAUCUUAAAAGCUUACUUAUUGAAGCUUACUGCAAAGGUCAGCAAGAAUUAUUGUAUGUUGUGCCUUUUGUGGCCAAAGUUUUGGAAAGUUGUGCUAAAAGUCGUGUCUUUCGUCCUCCUAACCCGUGGACCAUGGCAAUAAUGAAUGUUCUUGCGGAACUUCAUCAAGAGCAAGAUCUUAAGUUAAAUCUUAAAUUUGAGAUUGAAGUUUUGUGUAAAAAUUUGAAUAUCGAUGUGGCAGAACUAAAACCGGCAAUAUUUUUGAAAGAUCCUGAAAGAGCUCGCAAUAUUGAGUAUCAACUAUCGCAGCCUCCUAAAAAGAAUGAGAAUAUCAAUAAUGCUAAUAAUCAACAGCAAACCAAUGAAGCCAACAAUCAAUCUGCUACGAUAAUUCACCAGCAGCAGCAACUUCAACAACAACAACAGCAGCAGCAACAACAACAACAACAACAACAACAACAACAACAACAACAACAACAGCAACAGCAACAACAACAGCAACAACAACAGCAGCAACACCAACAGCAGCAGCAACAACACCAACAACAGCAGCAGCAGCAACAACAGCAACAGGUGCAGCAAGUACCCUCUGUUGCCAAUACCACACCUUCACUUCCAAGUGUACCAAUUGAACCACGAUUCAGUUUAAAUGAUAUAAACACGUCAAAUAUUGGAAAUAUCCAAUCGCAAAUAACAAUUAACAGCAGUUUACAAAUAUUCCAAACUCACCCUCACCUGAAACAGUUUGUUCGUCAAGCUGUUGAACGUGCCAUUCAAGAAUGGAUACAUCCAGUUGUCGACCGCUCUAUCAAAAUUGCCAUAACAACAACAGAGCAAACUGUAAGAAAAGAUUUUGCAAUGGACGGUGAUGAAUCAAAAAUGCGUACCGCUGCCAAAAGCAUGGUUCGCAAUCUUACUGCUGGAAUGGCUAUGAUAACAUGUCGAGAUCAGAUCCUUGGAUCAAUUAGUACCAAUUUGAAAAGUGCAUUUAAUAUGAUUGGGUUGACACAACAACAAAAGGAAUUAGCAGAUCAAGCAGCCAACGUAGUUGCUACUGAUAAUAUGGAAUUAGCUUGUGCUUUUAUCCAAAAGACGGCCAUCGAAAAAGCUAUACCUGAAAUGGAUAAAAGGUUGAUGCCGGAAUAUGAUGCAAGAAAAGUCGCCAAGAGCGAGGGAAGAAGAUUUACUAAUCCAAUAUCCAAUUUCCAAAAUGAUCGCCUACCAGAACCCUUAAAAUUAAAGUCAACUGGUGUUACUCCUCAACAAAUGGCAGUUUAUGAAGAGUUUGCUCGCAAUAUACCUGGCUUCUUACCAAUGACUUCAGAUCGUGAACGUGAUAUAUCACUUUAUAUACCAAAAAGUAUUGUUGAAAUAACACCGGUUCAACCUGUACAACCAUUUGCAGCUUCUACUGUACCAACUAUGCCAGUUCUAAAUGCACAAGUUUACCCAUCAACUGUUAGUAAUGAUGAAGUUGGUGCUAUGUUAGAAAAACUUGCAAGUGAAGUGGAAGUGAUGAUUACGACUUUGAACUCUACUUCUCCACAACAAAAUACUUCAUUACAUGGUUUGUUAGAAGCGAUCAUUGUAACACGUAGAUCUCGUGAUGCUACCGCAGCAAUGACGAUGUUGAAAAAAGCCGUUGAUAAUCUUAUUGAUGGACCACCUUUAACAAAUAAUUUAAUGGAUUCUGAAACUGUUAUGCGUUACCGCGAUCUUCACCUGCGAGUAUUAAAGUGCCUUCAAGAUCCUCGCGCUUAUGGGUUGCAAUGGACCAACAAAAACGUAACUCGUUGCCUCACGGAAAGUCGAGAAGAUUUCAGGUAUAAUUUUGAGGCCGUAGAUUUACUCAUCCGAUCCCAUUUGAUCAUAUUGGGUCAGUAUGAUGUGGCUCUGGCACAAGCGGUCGAAGCAGGGAAUGCGCUUGCUACUGCCUUUGCUAUUCAACUUAUUCAGUUGUAUUUAAUCGAUGAGAGACAAACUAUCCAUGUUACCGAAUCCGAUUUAUUCCAUACCAUUGAGGUACUCGCUCGAAUGGCCCUUCACAGGUCUGCACCAGAAGGAAUUCCGCUAUUCAGAUUAAAUUCAUUAAUCGAAUCAUUGCGUAUUAAUCACGACCCAGCUGUUCUAACCGAUAGAGCACCAGCUGGUCCCACUGCUCACAUACACUCUGGCAUAUUACAAGUUCGCCAGGCACGUGAGUACGAAGAUCCACCUGGAUUGAUGGAAAAAACUGAAUAUCUUUUGCGAGAGUGGGUGAAUAUGUUCCAUAAUCCGCAGUAUGCACGCGAUCCAACUAAAGCUUUCGGAGUCUUUGUGCAUCAGAUGAAUAUUCAUGGAAUUCUGAAGACUGAUGAUCUCAUAACACGUUUCUUCAAACUUAGUACCCAGAUGUGCGUCGACCACUGUUAUCGUGCUCUAAGCGAAACUAGUUCUGCCCCAUCAAUUGUUCGAGCGAAAUGUUUCCACACUCUCGAUGCAUUUGUUAGGCUUGUUGCUCUAUUAGUUAAACAUUCAGGGGAUUCUACAAAUACUCACACGAAGAUAAAUUUACUCAACAAAGUUCUUGGCAUCGUAGCAGGUGUUCUUUUACAAGAUCAUGAACUGCGCAGUACUGAUUUUCAGCAGUGCCCGUAUCACCGUAUUUUUAUAAUGUUGUUUCUGGAGCUUUGUGCUCCUGAACCAGUUCUUGAAGCUGUUAACUAUCAAGUUCUUACAGCUUUUUGCCACACUUUCCAUAUUCUCAGACCUGCCAAAGCGCCAGGUUUCUGUUAUGCUUGGCUUGAACUAGUAUCCCAUCGUGUUUUUAUCGGACGUAUGCUCGCCAUUACACCACAACAACGUUGCUGGGGUAUAUACGCUCAACUUUUGAUUGAUCUCUUUAAGUAUCUUGCUCCUUAUCUCCGUAAUGCUGAAUUGGCCAAACCAGUCACACUUUUGUACAAAGGUACUCUACGUGUAUUGCUUGUUUUGCUACACGACUUUCCAGAGUUUUUGUGUGACUAUCAUUAUGGAUUUUGCGAUGUUAUCCCACCUAAUUGCAUUCAAAUGCGUAAUCUUAUAUUGAGUGCGUUUCCACGUAAUAUGCGCUUACCUGAUCCAUUCACACCAAAUCUGAAAGUGGAUAUGCUUCAGGAGAUCACUCAUGCUCCUAGGGUACUUACCAAUUUUGCUUCGAUGAUUCAGCCUAUCACAUUUAAAAAAGAACUUGAUGUGUACUUGAAAACGCGUGCUCCAGUUACUUUCCUAGGAGAUCUUCGCACUAAUCUUCAGCAAGGGCAGGGGCUAGGCAUGCGUUACAACAUUCAGCUAAUGAAUGCAUUGGUCAUCUAUGUAGGCACUCAGGCAAUUAAUUUCAUCCGAAGCAAAGGACAUGCACCAAGUAUGUCGACAAUCGCGCAUUCAUCACAUAUGGAUAUUUUCCAGAAUUUAGCAGUCGAUUUAGAUACAGAGGGUCGUUACUUGUUCCUCAAUGCAAUCGCUAAUCAGUUGCGUUAUCCUAAUAGCCAUACGCACUAUUUUAGUUGUACUCUUUUGUACUUGUUUGCUGAAGCUAAUACUGAGGCAAUACAAGAACAGAUAACACGAGUACUGCUUGAGAGACUGAUUGUUAAUCGACCCCAUCCAUGGGGCUUGCUAAUCACAUUUAUUGAACUUAUUAAAAACCCAAACUACAAGUUUUGGCAACACGAGUUCGUUCAUUGCGCGCAAGAAAUUGAAAAAUUCUUUGAGUCGAUCAGUGAAAGGAUUAGUAUUCACUAAGGGAUUUUCUGAACAAUAAUAAAUGCUUCUUAUUACUUCCUACAACGUUUUGGAAUCCGAGCUAUGUCCGUUCAACGGAUAUUAUUACACAUUAUUUGAAUCAGUAGCUCGUUCUUGUAUGGUCCAGAAGCAGGUCCAACCAACACCAGAACCAGAAAUCCCAGAGUGAUAAAACGUUU
RNAcentral lists this unclassified non-coding RNA (7520 nucleotides) under Trichogramma pretiosum. RNAcentral's name for it is "cCR4-NOT transcription complex subunit 1, transcript variant X5". Lineage: Eukaryota; Metazoa; Arthropoda; Insecta; Hymenoptera; Trichogrammatidae. The record is from RNAcentral.